RNAcentral lists this ribosomal RNA (346 nucleotides) under uncultured bacterium. RNAcentral describes it as "bacterial SSU rRNA". It matches the Rfam family "Bacterial small subunit ribosomal RNA", at positions 917 to 1269 of the family's 1533-position model. The record is from RNAcentral.
GGGCCCGCACAAGCGGUGGAGCAUGUGGUUUAAUUCGAUGCAACGCGAAGAACCUUACCAGGACUUGACAUACUACGAAUUCUUCUGAGAAGAAGAAGUGCCUUCGGGAAUGUAGAUACAGGUGGUGCAUGGCUGUCGUCAGCUCGUGUCGUGAGAUGUUGGUUAAGUCCCGCAACGAGCGCAACCCUUAUUUUUAGUUACUAAUUCGUUAGGUUCUCUAGAAAGACUGCCGGUGACAAACCGGAGGAAGGUGAGGAUGACGUCAAGUCAGCAUGCCCCUUAUGUCCUGGCUACACACGUGCUACAAUGGUUAAGACAAAGAGUCGCGAGCUUGUGAAAGUCAGCU